Meleagris gallopavo (turkey) is the source of this 323-nucleotide non-coding RNA. The record is from RefSeq and is a predicted model, not a curated record. NCBI's taxonomy places the organism in Eukaryota, Metazoa, Chordata, Aves, Galliformes, Phasianidae.
CUUGGUCUCUCCUUUACUCAGUGAUCCCCAAAGCACUGGGCUGGGCACUGCUCGGUGGCCCUGAGCAAGGGACAAGGUCAGGGCCAGGGCACCAGGAAGAUGCGGUGGCGUAGGAAGGUCAUGUGAUUGGCAGGCAUGUCCUGGAAGUCGUACGUCACCAAGAACAUCUUCACCACAGUCUUGUUGGGGUUAAAUAAGGUUAAAUGGUAGUGUCCUCAGAUGCCUAGUUGCUUGAGCCAUGCUUUCCAGAGAAGAGCAGCCCCAGAGAACAUGCAGCAUCUGGACACAGCCCCCAGUCACCUCCCCCACAGUCCCAGCCCAUC